This 468-nucleotide ribosomal RNA is filed under the name uncultured bacterium. RNAcentral describes it as "partial 16S ribosomal RNA". It matches the Rfam family "Bacterial small subunit ribosomal RNA", at positions 28 to 507 of the family's 1533-position model. The record is from RNAcentral.
GACGAACGCUGGCGGCGUGCUUAACACAUGCAAGUCGAACGGAAAGGCCCUGCUUUUGUGGGGUGCUCGAGUGGCGAACGGGUGAGUAACACGUGAGUAACCUGCCCUUGACUUUGGGAUAACUUCAGGAAACUGGGGCUAAUACCGGAUAGGAGCUCCUGCUGCAUGGUGGGGGUUGGAAAGUUUCGGCGGUUGGGGAUGGACUCGCGGCGUAUCAGCUUGUUGGUGGGGUAGUGGCUUACCAAGGCUUUGACGGGUAGCCGGCCUGAGAGGGUGACCGGCCACAUUGGGACUGAGAUACGGCCCAGACUCCUACGGGAGGCAGCAGUGGGGAAUAUUGCACAAUGGGCGGAAGCCUAAUGCAGCAACGCCGCGUGCGGGAUGACGGCCUUCGGGUUGUAAACCGCUUUCGCCUGUGACGAAGCGUGAGUGACGGUAAUGGGUAAAGAAGCACCGGCUAACUACGUG